CUUGAAUUAAGCUGAAGUUUACGUAUAUUUACACAUUUUCUCUUAGUACUCGUUGGAAUUCGCAGGCGCACUAGGUAAAGUUUCACAGAGUACAUCACAGUUUGUCAUUAAUACUCUUUUGGGUACCUCUAAAAUUCCCGUUUGCAUACUACACGCCACGGUACUCGUAAACGGUUUACCACGUCCGAGACGGUGUGGCCAGCGCCAGCUGCUAUUCGGCCGGUCUAUUAACUGCGCAAAUCGUCCAAUGACAGAAAGCAACGAAAAUAAAAAGUAGCUACUAAAUCUCCUACAGUCCUACUUGUGCUUUGCAUUAAAAGUUUACUGCAUAACAUAUACUCCAAGAGUAAUGGGGUUAGGGUAACCUGUGCAACCUGUUGGCCUCAACUACAUGAAAGUAGCACAAUGCAUAGUAAGAAAUACAAAUUAUGUACAUAGGCAAGUACGGAAAACAUUGGCAGGCUCGCAGGCAAUGAUGCUGACUUUUGGUAUUGGAAAGAUUCCGAUUCAUUUCUACAAACGAAUGAUUUCUUGUGUCACAUUUGUUAUUUCCCAUCUGUAUUUCUCUUUGUGUAGAAGAAUUGCAAAGUUACAUUAAAGAAAGUGGAGGGGAAAUUGUUACAGGGAGAGUUUUGAAGCAUGUUAUGACAACAUUGUCUCCAACAGACUUUAAUAUAACAGUAAACGAUCCCGAUCAUGAUUUUUUUCGUGGCAACACUGUCUCUUUGUGUGAUACUGCAGUCGAAGUCCUCGCGUUCCUGAGGCUCUGAAAGUGAAAGCGUCGCUCCUGCAGUACUGCUGAUGUCGGUCAAGUUGAAUUCAACAUGGUGAAACCUAAUGAAAAGGGAAAGAACGCAUUGCAUUUACGAGAGAUAGAAACAGUUGUUACGAAAAGCCGGUUGUUGGAAGGAACGAGAAGCAAUUCUUUCCAACCUGUUCCAGAUGUUUUGUCUUUGAAGUCGUCAUCCCUAACUGAACGCGAAGAAGAACUUUCAAGGGGUUUUCUUAAGUAUAAAAAAGGUAUAUCAUUCUUAAAUGAUGCCCACCUGCAAGUCUAAUGAGAAAUGUUGUGUGUUGUUAUUCUUCUCACGUUAUUCUUCUCACUGAAUAACCAAGUCCUUAAUAAAACACGAGACUGCUAUUAGUAUUAACUGUAAUGAAAGCACACUGCGUAACACUUACCAACGUAGCAUAUGAUUCUAUCCCAUAGAUGUUCUGUCCCGUCUGGACAUGGAACUACUGACAGAGAAUGUUUAAGUACAGCUCACGUUAUUCUUCUCACUGAAUAACCAAGUCCUGAAUAAAACACGAGACUGCUAUUAGUAUUAACUAUAAUGAAAGCACACUGCGUAACACUUACCAACGUAGCAUAUGAUUCUAUCCCAUAGAUGUUCUGUCCCGUCUGGACAUGGAACUACUGACAGAGAAUGUUUAAGUACAGCACUGAUGGAAUUCACCUUCAUACCCUUAUCAGAUGGUGAAUUCAAUGUCUGAAGGUAAAAAUAAGAUGUAAGGCUAACGCAUAAUAAUGAUUAAUAAGUGUUGUACCUGACGCUUUCGGCCGACCAAAUAAUUUUGAGCCAUGGUGAUGCUGUGCUCAGAAUUCAACGUCUUAAAGUAAAAAUAAGGUGUAAGGCUAACACAUAAUAAUUAAUAAUGAUGAGUAAGAGGUGUUGUACCUGACGCUUUCGGCCGACGAAAUCACUUAAGAUUGAUGUUGUGCUCAGAAAUCAGCAGGCUGUUUGAGGGACUCAGCAACGCGAGGACUUCGACUGCAACUGCAAUAGUGCAAUGUCACACAAAGGGAAUAAAUCACUUGGGAAACCGAGUUCAAGAUCGACCGCUAGAUGGCGAAAGAGUAGAGAUUUUUUUUUUUUUUUUGGAAAGAGAAAAAAUAAAUGUUGGUAAAACCGGUUGCCAUAAUUUCGCAGAAAAUAAUCACCAUCCACAAACGCCAUCUAGCGGCCACGGCUUGCACCUUUUUGAAAUCCCACUCACUGGAGGAGGAGCUGAAUCACUAUAGAUUCCUAUAACCAUUUCCAACAAUUAAUAUCGAUUUUAUCGUGCCAGUGGCAGAUACAGGGCCAUCAAAUCGUGAUCGGUUUGGAGAUCCUAAUUCACAGAGAUUUGCCCGGCACUAACCGGAGUGAAUAUGCGACACUGAGGACACUUAAUGUGGUUUUAAUCGACUAGAUUCUAAAUGACACAAAAAUAUACAUGAGUACAAUCAUCGGACAUCACAGGCAUAAUCAUAACAUUAGGUUUUAUACGUUGAAUGCACGUGUGCGCAUACAAAAAACAAAAACAAUACAAAAGAGAAACGUGACUUACAACGCAACACUCCAGACAGCGUCGUCCAUUUCAACGGCGAGAUAAACUGGUAUGUUAUUGCAACAAGCGAGAUAAACAGUAUUGAAAACCAGUAAUUGAUAAACGUUUAGAAAACAAAAACAAAUUUAUUAUCACUGAGACAUUCACCUGUAUCUGCACUGGCACGAUAAAAUCGAUAUUAAUUGUAGGAAAUGGUUGUAGAGAUCGAUAGUGAUUCAGCUCCUCCUUCGGUGGGUGGGAUUUCAAAAAGGUGCGUAUUGUGGCCGCUAGAUGGCGUUGGUGGAUGGUGAUUAUUUUCUGCGAAAAAAAAUAAAUGGCCCUAGCCAAGGUGCUGAAAUUUUAGGGGGUAAUUUGGCGUUCCGUAUGCAAGCCGUACUUUUUUGCGGAUUUUUCCGUUUUCCUACUGAUUAGAUGCUUCACACACCCGGGAUUUGUGAAUAAACUAAGAUAGAUAAUUUUUUUAUUUUUAUUUCUUAAUUAUAAGCAAAAAUUCUUUAUAUCCCCUUAUUCAUUUGAACUGUAUUGGCCCAACCUUAUAUACGCAUAAAAAUUUCGUUAUAAAAAUCUAA
Long non-coding RNA from Daphnia magna, 2900 nucleotides. RefSeq lists it as uncharacterized. NCBI's taxonomy places the organism in Eukaryota, Metazoa, Arthropoda, Branchiopoda, Diplostraca, Daphniidae. The record is from RefSeq and is a predicted model, not a curated record. The transcript is spliced from 4 exons.